This 444-nucleotide ribosomal RNA is filed under the name uncultured bacterium. Its description in RNAcentral is "SSU rRNA". It matches the Rfam family "Bacterial small subunit ribosomal RNA", at positions 26 to 518 of the family's 1533-position model. The record is from RNAcentral.
AGAACGAACGCUGGCGGCAGGCUUAACACAUGCAAGUCGAGCGCCCAGCAAUGGGAGCGGCGGACGGGUGCGUAACACGUGGGAACAUGCCUUUCGGUACGGAACAACUGCGGGAAACUGCAGCUAAUGCCGUAUACGCCCUUACGGGGAAAGAUUUAUCGCCGAAAGAUUGGCCCGCGCCUGAUUAGCUAGUUGGUGAGGUAAUGGCUCACCAAGGCUUCGAUCAGUAGCUGGUUUGAGAGAACGACCAGCCACACUGGGACUGAGACACGGCCCAGACUCCUACGGGAGGCAGCAGUGGGGAAUCUUGGACAAUGGAGGAAACUCUGAUCCAGCCAUGCCGCGUGAGUGAUGAAGGCCUUCGGGUUGUAAAACGUCUUUUACCCGGGAAGAUAAUGACUGUACCGGAGAAUAAGCUCCGGCUAACUUCGUGCCAGCAGCCGC